RNAcentral lists this long non-coding RNA (2998 nucleotides) under Nicotiana tabacum (common tobacco). RNAcentral's name for it is "long non-coding RNA (NTAB_LNC016976)". The record is from RNAcentral. Lineage: Eukaryota; Viridiplantae; Streptophyta; Magnoliopsida; Solanales; Solanaceae.
GGUCCGUAGGUUGGUUUAAGGCUUUUUGGCAAAAGUUGAAAAGUUGAAAGUUUGGAAGGUUGAUAUAUUUGACCGAGGGUUGACUUUAUUGAUAUAGGGCUCGGAUUGUCUUUGCGAGACUUGUCAUAGGUCCGAUGUGUCAUUUAGGACUUACAUGUAAAAUUUGAGCUCUUUCGGAGUUGGUUUGAUAUGAUUCGGCAUUAGUUUUAGAAGUCGAAUGUUCAUUGAUUCAAUUGGUUUGAAUUGGGGUUCAAGUAGUAGAUUUGAUGUUUCUUGAUUUGAUUUAAGGCUUCGAGUAGGUUCGUGUUGUAUUUUGGGACUCGAUGGUAUGUUCGGACAGGGUCCUGGGGGCCCCGAGUGUGAUUUGGGUUGAGUUCGAACUCAUUUGGAGACUUGAAGGAUUUUGGAUGCCUGUUGAGUACUGGUGCAAUCGCACCUGCGAGGGUAUGGUUGCAGGUGCGGCAUCGAAGAAACAGCCCAUUGGCCGCAGAUGCGAGCCGGAGCUGGGUGAGCUGGGUCCGCAGGUGAGAAUUGCUCCCGCUGAAGCGGAGUUUUGUCUGUUAGUUUGGGACCGCAGAAUCGGAUGCGUAGAAGAGCCUUGUGUCCGCAAAAGCGGAAGCACAUAUGCGCUGUAUGGACCGCAAAAACGUAUUUUGCUGGGCUUUAGUGUAGCCGCAUCUGCAAUGUUAUUUCCGCAGAUGUAGAGUUGCAGAAGCGACCAAUUUUUUGAAGGUGCGGAAUGUCUGGGCAGAAAUAGAGAAGAUUGAUGGUUUUAUUUCAUCUGCCACAUUUUUGAGUUAGAGAGCUUGGUUUUGGACGUUUUUAGGGAAAUCUCAUGGAUUGGAUCGGGGUAAGUAUGGUUGGACUCAUAUUAGAAUGGGUGUUCGGAUUUGGUAAGUUUGGUCGGGUUCCGAGGUACGGGUCCAUGGUUGACUUUUUGAUUUACUUUAAUGAUUGAAAAUUAUUAUCCGAAAUUGCUUCCUAUGGCUUUUAUUUAUGGUAUUAAGUUAUUUUGUCUAGAUUCGAGCCGUCCGAAGUUGAAUUUUUGCGGGAAAGGCUUACUAGGAGAUUGAUUUAGCUUGUUUGAGGUAAGUAUCCUGUCUAACUUUAUGUGAGGGAAAUACCCCUUAGGACUUGGGUUGAUUUGUGUUAUUUGAAUUAUAUAAAAGACGUGUACUCAAGGUGACGAGCGUGUACACGAGCUUAUAGGUGCUAUUUUGACCGGUUUAGACUCUUAGGAUCUUUUAUGCAUUUAAUUAGAAAUUGAAAUAUCAUGUUAUAUCUUCCAUUGUUAAACUGCUCUACAUGCUUUACUUGAUAUUGUAAUCACAUGCCCGAUCUUUUAUUUUCAAACAUUCUUUUAUUUGCCUUAAUUGGUGUUGUUAUCUUUUUUAUUGUAAUGUGUCUUUUAAUUGUGUAAUUAUUCUAAUUUGAAGUUGAAGUUAUGAAAGCUAUUAUUACAUUGUUGUUGAAGUUGUUGAUUAUUGAGAUAUUGUACCCUUGUUGAGUAAUUCCUAUUCAUUUUGUUAUGAUUGAGAUUCUUGUUCACAUCGUGGUUGAGCUUUGGGCUAUAUGUUGUGGUAACUUCGGGUAUUGUUAAUUUUGGCAAGUUGUGGCAUAUGGUCACUUGUGGUUCGAGUUGUUAUAGUGUUAUAAUAUUAUGAAGUGCAUGUGGCGGUAUAAAUAUGGGGUUAAUGUGCAUGCGGCGACAUAAGGUGGAAUUUAUGUGCGUGUUGCUAGUAAGGUAAUUACUUGAAGACACGCGGCAGCAUAAGGGGCUAAAAUGUGUGUACCUAUUUCGGGAAAAAGUGUUUUAAAUAAUAUCUUAAUUUAACGCUCACACGGCGGUAUAAGGAAAGGUUGUGAUCUUGAAUUUUAAAAUGUGGAUAUGAUGUGGUACCUCAGUUGGGAUUCUUGUUGUACAUUCUAUGUUAAAGAGGCUUGUUGGUUGAACAAUUUUGUUAUUUCUUUAUUUGCCUUACUUGUAUUUGUCUGUAUUUAUUUAUUGAUGUUCUUAUCAUGUUUUCACUCCUAGUUUGGGAUUGGUAGAAUUCAAGAAUGUUCUACAAGUUUCUUCCAUUGUAUUUGAGUCGCGUGGAGGCGACAUUUAUGGUAAAAGCUAUUUCGGAGGGUUGAGUUGGCCUAGUUGAGGUAAGUAUCCUGCCUAACUUUGUGUGGGGGAAUUACCCCUUUGGAUUGGUGUUGAUUGAUUUAUUUGUACUAUGUGAAUGCCGUGUACGCAAGGUGACGAGUGGGUACACGGGUUGUACGUGGUAUUUGACCGGUUUAGGCUACUUAGACUAUUUUCAUGCCUUAAUUGAAAUGCCAUAUCAGGUUCUAAAAAACUCAUAGUCAAUUUGCGGUCCGCAUAGUUUUUCUACUUCUGCCCAACAUUUUCCUUCAACUCCCUAGGCACUGUUCAAUCCAAAAAGUCCGAACCUCUAUUCGCAAAGGUCUAAGAAUGAAUAUGCGACCAAAGUGCGGCCCGCAAAAUGGUUAUGCGGUCGCAUAAUUGGCCGCGAAAUCAACAUCUAAAAUGCAUAAGAAAACUGCCUCACUUUGCGACCAUUCUGCGAUGUGCAGAGUGGUUCUGCGGCCGCAGAACGGGCCAUAGAAAUGCCUACUUCUGCCCAACAUUUUCCUUCAACUCCCUAGCCACUAUUCAGUCCGAAAAGUAAUUACCUCCCUUCGUAAAAGUGUAAGGAUGACUAUGCGACCAAAGUGCGGCCCGCAAAACGGUUAUGCAGUCGCAUAAUUGGCCGCGAAAUCGACAUCAAAAACACCCCAGAAAACUGCAUCACUCUGCGACCAUUCUGCGGUCCGCAGAGUGGUUCUGCGGCCGCAGAACGGGCCGCAAAAAUGCCUUCUUUUGCCCAACAUUUUCCUUCAACUAUCUAGGCACUGUUCAAUCCAAAAAGUCCGAAUCUCCCUUCGCAAAAGUUUAAGGAUGACUGUGCGACCAAAGUGCGGCCCGCGAAACGGUUAUGCGGUCGCAUAA